Molecule: ribosomal RNA, 253 nt
Filed under: uncultured bacterium
Lineage: Bacteria
Description: partial 16S ribosomal RNA
Rfam family: Bacterial small subunit ribosomal RNA
Source: RNAcentral
UACAGAGGGUGCGAGCGUUGUCCGGAAUCACUGGGCGUAAAGGGCGCGUAGGCGGCCUGAUAAGUAGGGGGUGAAAUCCUGGAGCUCAACUCCAGAACUGCCUUUGAUACUGGCGAUCUUGAGUCCGGGAGAGGUGAGUGGAACUGCGAGUGUAGAGGUGAAAUUCGUAGAUAUUCGCAAGAACACCAGUGGCGAAGGCGGCUCACUGGCCCGGUACUGACGCUGAGGUGCGAAAGCGUGGGGAGCAAACAGG